RNAcentral lists this ribosomal RNA (865 nucleotides) under Trichoderma sp. IITKGP-PBT101. RNAcentral's name for it is "SSU rRNA". It matches the Rfam family "Eukaryotic small subunit ribosomal RNA", at positions 1 to 1472 of the family's 1831-position model. The record is from RNAcentral. Lineage: Eukaryota; Fungi; Ascomycota; Sordariomycetes; Hypocreales; Hypocreaceae.
UUUUCUGGCUGGGGGCGCCAGACGCGGCAAUUAAGUUGUUGUGGUUAAAGCUCGUAGUUGAACCUUGGGCCUGGCUGGCCGGUCCGCCUCACCGCGUGCACUGGUCCGGCCGGGCCUUUCCCUCUGCGGAACCCCAUGCCCUUCACUGGGUGUGGCGGGGAAACAGGACUUUUACUUUGAAAAAAUUAGAGUGCUCAAGGCAGGCCUAUGCUCGAAUACAUUAGCAUGGAAUAAUAGAAUAGGACGUGUGGUUCUAUUUUGUUGGUUUCUAGGACCGCCGUAAUGAUUAAUAGGGACAGUCGGGGGCAUCAGUAUUCAAUUGUCAGAGGUGAAAUUCUUGGAUUUAUUGAAGACUAACUACUGCGAAAGCAUUUGCCAAGGAUGUUUUCAUUAAUCAGGAACGAAAGUUAGGGGAUCGAAGACGAUCAGAUACCGUCGUAGUCUUAACCAUAAACUAUGCCGACUAGGGAUCGGACGAUGUUACAUUUUUGACGCGUUCGGCACCUUACGAGAAAUCAAAGUGCUUGGGCUCCAGGGGGAGUAUGGUCGCAAGGCUGAAACUUAAAGAAAUUGACGGAAGGGCACCACCAGGGGUGGAGCCUGCGGCUUAAUUUGACUCAACACGGGGAAACUCACCAGGUCCAGACACAAUGAGGAUUGACAGAUUGAGAGCUCUUUCUUGAUUUUGUGGGUGGUGGUGCAUGGCCGUUCUUAGUUGGUGGAGUGAUUUGUCUGCUUAAUUGCGAUAACGAACGAGACCUUAACCUGCUAAAUAGCCCGUAUUGCUUUGGCAGUACGCUGGCUUCUUAGAGGGACUAUCGGCUCAAGCCGAUGCAAUGGCCCCAAAUAACACGGCUCAUGCCGC